GCCUGGGUGGCUCAGUCGGUUGAGCGUCCGACUUCGGCUCGGGUCAUGAUCUCACGGUCUGUGGGUUCGAGCCCCACGUCGGGCU
RNAcentral lists this transfer RNA (85 nucleotides) under Felis catus (domestic cat). It matches the Rfam family "tRNA". From Rfam's summary of the family: Transfer RNA (tRNA) molecules are approximately 80 nucleotides in length. Lineage: Eukaryota; Metazoa; Chordata; Mammalia; Carnivora; Felidae. The record is from Rfam by way of RNAcentral.